Molecule: long non-coding RNA, 242 nt
Filed under: Trifolium pratense (red clover)
Lineage: Eukaryota; Viridiplantae; Streptophyta; Magnoliopsida; Fabales; Fabaceae
Description: long non-coding RNA (TPRA_LNC010378)
Source: RNAcentral
UUGCCUCCCAUGCAGCGCUUUGUUUAACGUCGGUUAGCUCGACUUCUUAACCCUUUAGAUUAGUAUGGUGCCUCUUCCAAACUCACGUCCUUAAAAUUAUGUCCAACAUCCUUAGGUCUCCAUUUAAACAUGUCAAACCAUCUCAUAGGUGUUUUCCUUUUUCUUUUCUUUUUCUUGGAGGCAAACGGAGAUGUUUUAUUUUGGAAGAUAUUACUUUCUGGGUGGGCUUUUAGUAUGUCGGG